GCUAUUUAAAAAUAUAAUAUACCCUUGAGCAAGGUAUAUUCCUACCCAUAAAUUUGAAAUCGUACAUAUUGGGCAUUCAUACGUACAUCUUUCCUCUUGUGUGAAGUAUCCACUAUGGGAUUGUAGUACGGGUGGAUGACUAGUUGCCUUACAUGGAAUAGUUAGUCUACAUAAUGGAAGGAUUGGUAGAUUUAGUGCAGAAAUGGAGGUGCUAAUUCCCCUUGGUUCAGUAAGGGUUGUUAGUCAAUAGUCAAUGAAGACAUUGAUAUUUCUAAAGGGGGGGUGAGUGUAACGUAUGUGAUCAUGGAAUGAGAUUUGGAUAUACUGUCACCGUGAAUCCUUAGAAUCUUGGGGGAUAAAUAGGGAUAAAAAUAACCAUUAAAGGCUCUCUCAUCAAGCAAUUGCCCUUUUUCCAAUUGGCUUAAAUAUAGCAACGCUAAAAUCACUUUUUGGGUGGAUGAAAAGUGACCAGGCAAAGGCAAUCAAAGCACCAUGAUGUGUGUUACGUUUCCUCUUCUGGGAGCAUCCUAGAGAUGGGAAAAAAAAAAA
Molecule: long non-coding RNA, 549 nt
Filed under: Selaginella moellendorffii
Lineage: Eukaryota; Viridiplantae; Streptophyta; Lycopodiopsida; Selaginellales; Selaginellaceae
Description: long non-coding RNA (SMOE_LNC002130)
Source: RNAcentral